This 584-nucleotide long non-coding RNA is filed under the name Nicotiana benthamiana. RNAcentral's name for it is "long non-coding RNA (NBEN_LNC023769)". The record is from RNAcentral. Lineage: Eukaryota; Viridiplantae; Streptophyta; Magnoliopsida; Solanales; Solanaceae.
AACAAAGAAAAAUUAGGUAAAAACAACAAUAAGCAGUUGCGAGCCGCACCUGCAGAGGAUAAAAUGUCCAGCUGUCUCUCCGUCCCCAAACGACCCCGUUUUAACCUUUGUAAAUCCCAGUCAUUGAUCAUCAUGGAUCUAAUAGCUAGGAACUGAUUAAUCCCUUACUAUAUUAAUGUCUGAAAUACCUCCACCCCUCUCAUUUCAAACCCCAUCAGUCUCUCACCUCUCUCAAAGAACCCAAACCCUAGCCGCCCCUAAUUGCCCAAACCCUACCACCUGGUGGCACCGUUCCAAACACCCACAUCUUCUAACCAGGCAACCAUCAUAACCCCAUCGUCCUAUACCCAUCACCAAUCGCUCAAAAAUCCUUACCCAUUUGCUCUAAUUUCAGAUCUAAAUUCUGAAAGAAAUGACCAACCCUAAUUUGUCCUCUUCUCUUUGAUUUUUGGGGGUUUAGGGCUCGAUUUGAGUUAAAGUUCAUGCUAAUCGAUUGUAUAUUGAAAAGAACAAUCGAUUAGCAUUAGUUUUGGCUUAUCUCGAGACCACCGAAUUCCGGCCAAGUCAGCACUGAUCGACCAAGC